Molecule: long non-coding RNA, 1757 nt
Filed under: Homo sapiens (human)
Lineage: Eukaryota; Metazoa; Chordata; Mammalia; Primates; Hominidae
Description: HSALNT0284371
Source: RNAcentral
AAGUUUUUAUUAAAGGUAAACGUCCUUGUAAAGACAAGUGUGCAAUUGAACACUCGUGAGACUUCUGAGUACACUCCUUUCAUAGACUCCAUAAUAUAGAAAUUGAAAAGGAUAUGAAAGGAUAUGGUUCUCUUACCUUAGAGGUGAAGAAAACAAGGUCUAUAUUAAACAAAGUUUUUCCAAGAUGUACAUUUACUAGCAGAGCUAGGAGUCAAUUCUAGGCCUAACUGCUUCUCGAGUGCUCUUUCCACUGCCCUGCAGCUGCACGUUGCCUUUUAUUGAAGUUACUAUUAGAAAUCUGACCCCAAUUAAUUAACUUGACAAUAAUAAGUAUUCAUGGUUUAGAAAUUACCAAGUUUAAUAUUUAGUAAUAUUAAUUAUGCAAAUAUCCACAAACAGUACUUUGAAGAAAGGGUAGUGUGAUGGAUGGUUAAUAUUGAGUGUCAACUUGAUUGAAUUGAAGGAUGCAAAGGAUUGUUCCUGGGUGUGUCUGUGAGGGUGCUGCCAAAAGAGAUUAACAUUUGAGUAAGUGGACUGGGAGAGGCAGACCCACCCUCAAUCUGGGUGUGCACCGUGUGAUCAGCUGCCAGCAUGGCUAGAAUUAAGCAGGCAGAAGAAAUUGGAAGGAGCCGAUUUGCUGAGUCUUCUGGCAUUCAUCUUUUCCCCAUGCUGGAUGCUUCCUGCCCUAGAACAUCAGACUCCAGGUUCUUCAGUUUUUAGACUUUUGGACUUAACCAGUAUUUUCCAGGGGCUCCAGGGCCUUUGGCCACAGACUGAAGGCGGCACUAUCAGCUUCCCUACUUUUGAGGUUUUGGGACUCAGACUGAUCCACCACUGGCUUCCUUGCUCCUCAACUUGCAGACAGCCUAUUGUGAGACUUUACCUCGUGACUAAGUGUUAAGCCAAACAGAUUCUAUGGCUUCCACACAAAUGAGUAAGUGAUGAAGUUUAUGUACAUGAACAUUGCCGGUGCUGAUGAUCUUCCAAGAAUCUAAGGCAUUUAAGGAAUGCUAAUGUCAUUUGGGAACUGCAAAUCGAAACCAUAAAUAUAUACCAAUUUACCUCCACUAUGAUGGCUAGAAUGAAAAGGAUAGAUGGUAACAAGUGUUGACAAGGAUGGCAGAAAGUAAAACCCUCAUGCGCUGAUGGUGAAAACGUAAAGUUGUGCAGCCAGUCCAGAAAAAAUUCUGUAAGUUCCUCAAAAAAUUUAACAUAGAGUUAUGUUAUGACCAAGAAAUGAAAAUGAAAAUAUUCUGUCCACACAAAAAGUUUUACAUGAAUGCUUAUACCAGUAUUACUCAUAAUAAUAAAAAGGAGAAACCACUCAAAUAUCUACUGAUGAAUGAAUGGACAAACAAAAUGUGGUAAAGCCAUAGAAUACCAUAUUGCUCAGCCACAAAAAUGAAAUAAAUUACUGAUACAUGCUACAGCGUGAAUAAACCGUGAAAACAUUAUAAUAAGUGAAAGAAACCAGUCAGAAAUGCCCACAUACUGUAGGUUUCAUAUGUAAGAAAUAUCCAGAAUAGGCAAAUCUAUAAGACAAAAAGUACAUUCAUGGUUGCCAAGGGCUGGGAUGAGGGGAAAAUGGAAAAUGACUGCUAAUGGGUAUGGGUAUGGGUUUUCUUUCCAUGGUGAUGAAAAUAUUGUAGAUUAGAUAAAGGUAAUUAUUACAUAAAUCCAUAAAUAUGCUGAAAUGACUGAAUUGUAACUUUAAAGUGUGAGCUUUUGGUAUGUGAAUUAUAUCUCAGUAAAGAUAU